AACGAACGUUGGCGGCGUGCCUAACACAUGCAAGUCGAGCGCGAAAUUCACCUUCGGGUGGAGAGUAGAGCGGCGCACGGGUGAGUAACACGUGAGUAACCUGCCCCAGAGUCUGGGAUAACCUCCCGAAAGGGUGGCUAAUACCGGGUAAGCCUACAGAGCCGUUGGGUUCGGUAGGAAAAGCUUUAUGUGCUUUGGGAUGGGCUCGCGUCGCAUUAGAUAGUUGGUGGGGUAAUGGCCUACCAAGUCGAAGAUGCGUAGCUGGUCUGAGAGGGUGAUCAGCCACACUGGAACUGAGACACGGUCCAGACUCCUACGGGAGGCAGCAGUGGGGAAUAUUGCGCAAUGGGGGCAACCCUGACGCAGCAACGCCGCGUGAGUGACGAAGGCCUUCGGGUCGU
Molecule: ribosomal RNA, 401 nt
Filed under: uncultured bacterium
Lineage: Bacteria
Description: bacterial SSU rRNA
Rfam family: Bacterial small subunit ribosomal RNA
Source: RNAcentral